Molecule: small RNA, 574 nt
Filed under: Pongo abelii (Sumatran orangutan)
Lineage: Eukaryota; Metazoa; Chordata; Mammalia; Primates; Hominidae
Description: retained intron
Source: RNAcentral
ACCAUUUAUUGUUUUAUUUCCUGGAGAAAAUACAUCAUUUUAUCCCAGCCUUAAUAACCCAUCCCAAUGUAUACUCCUUCAUCUUCAUGGAUGAUGACCCUGCUACAUGCUCUGAACAAAUCAGGAGGCCCCUCGUGGGAGGAUAACCUGUCCUUUCUUUCUCUGUCCCUCUUCUGUGCAGAGCCUGUGCAUUGAGAACAGCUGCAUCGCGGCCCACGACAAGAGGGGGAGGUACGGGACCCUGUUCACGAUGGACCGGGUGCUGACCCCCCCAAUGGGGACUGUCAUGGAUGUCCUGAAGGGAGACAAUCGCUUUAGCAUGCUGGUAGCUGCCAUCCAGUCUGCAGGACUGACGGAGACCCUCAACCGGGAAGGAGUCUACACAGUCUUCGCUCCCACAAAUGAAGCCUUCCGAGCCCUGCCACCAAGAGAACGGAGCAGACUCUUGGGAGAUGCCAAGGAACUUGCCAACAUCCUGAAAUACCACAUUGGUGAUGAAAUCCUGGUUAGUGGAGGCAUUGGGGCCCUGGUGCGGCUAAAGUCUCUCCAAGGUGACAAGCUGGAAGUCAGCUUG